This 504-nucleotide ribosomal RNA is filed under the name uncultured bacterium. RNAcentral describes it as "bacterial SSU rRNA". It matches the Rfam family "Bacterial small subunit ribosomal RNA", at positions 28 to 525 of the family's 1533-position model. The record is from RNAcentral.
GAUGAACGCUAGCGGCAGGCUUAAUACAUGCAAGUCGAGGGGCAGCGCGGGUAGCAAUACCUGGCGGCGACCGGCAAACGGGUGCGGAACACGUACGCAACCUUCCCAUAACUGGUGAAUAGCCUUUCGAAAGAGAGAUUAAUACACCGUAACAUAACGAAGAGGCAUCUCUUUGUUAUUAUAGGCUUCGGCCGGUUUUGGAUGGGCGUGCGCCUGAUUAGGUAGUUGGCGGGGUAACGGCCCACCAAGCCUGCGAUCAGUAACUGGUGUGAGAGCACGACCAGUCACACGGGCACUGAGACACGGGCCCGACUCCUACGGGAGGCAGCAGUAAGGAAUAUUGGUCAAUGGACGCAAGUCUGAACCAGCCAUGCCGCGUGAGGGAUGAAGGUCCUCUGGAUUGUAAACUUCUUUAUCUGGGACGAAAAAAGCUCUUUCUAGAGCACUUGACGGUACCAGAGGAAUAAGCACCGGCUAACUCCGUGCCAGCAGCCGCGGUAACUA